RNAcentral lists this ribosomal RNA (253 nucleotides) under uncultured bacterium. RNAcentral describes it as "partial 16S ribosomal RNA". It matches the Rfam family "Bacterial small subunit ribosomal RNA", at positions 524 to 776 of the family's 1533-position model. The record is from RNAcentral.
UACGAAGGGGGCUAGCGUUGCUCGGAAUUACUGGGCGUAAAGGGCGCGUAGGCGGACAGUUUAGUCAGAGGUGAAAGCCCAGGGCUCAACCUUGGAAUUGCCUUUGAUACUGGCUGUCUUGAGUUCGGGAGAGGUGAGUGGAAUGCCGAGUGUAGAGGUGAAAUUCGUAGAUAUUCGGAAGAACACCUGUGGCGAAAGCGGCGCACUGGACCACAACUGACGCUGAGGCGCGAAAGCUAGGGGAGCAAACAGG